GAUGAACGCUGGCGGCGUGCUUAACACAUGCAAGUCGAACGGAAAGGCCCUGCUUUUGCGGGUUGCUCGUGUGGCGAACGGGUGAGUGACACGCGAGUAACAUCCCCCUAACUUUCGGAUAUCUCCACGAAACUGGGGCUCAUACCGCAUAUGAGCUCCUGCUGCAUGGUGGGCGUUGGUAAGUUUCGGCGGUUGUGGAUGGUCUCGCUGCUUAUGCGCCUGAUUGUGGGGUAGUUGCUUACCAAGGCUUUGAAGGGUAGCCGGCAUGAGAGGGCGACCGGCCACAAUGGGACUGAGGGACGGCCCAGUCGGGUACGGGAGGCAACAGGGGAGAACAUGGCACAAUGGGCGGAAGCCAGAGGAAGCGACGCCGGGUGCGGAAUAACCGCCUUCGGGUUGUAAACCGCUUUCGCCUGUGACGAAGCGGGAGUGACGGUAAUGGGUAAAGAAGCACCGGCUAACUACGUG
RNAcentral lists this ribosomal RNA (468 nucleotides) under uncultured bacterium. RNAcentral describes it as "partial 16S ribosomal RNA". It matches the Rfam family "Bacterial small subunit ribosomal RNA", at positions 28 to 507 of the family's 1533-position model. The record is from RNAcentral.